Molecule: long non-coding RNA, 642 nt
Organism: Mus musculus (house mouse)
Lineage: Eukaryota; Metazoa; Chordata; Mammalia; Rodentia; Muridae
Product: predicted gene, 41447
Exons: 3
Source: RefSeq, a predicted model, not a curated record
AGCCUCCACUUCCAAUCAAUGGCUCACCAAUGCCAGAAUGGCUCAUUACACUCUCUCCACUUAAAUCCUCCUAGGAUGACCUUUCAGACCCCAACUGCCCUGAGCCCAGCUACCCGCUGCCUGGUCCAGACCCCAAUAGGCCACUACAUGACUCAUCGGACAUUUUGGCCCACAUCCAUGGGAUCAGACCAGAUCUUCAGGAUACUCCCUUGAUAGAUGAUGAGGUUCACCUAUGACAACAGCUUCAUCCAAAAAGGACACAGAUACCUUUUCAGGUUGGACUGAGACACGCCCCACCAAGCAUGAUAUUUCAUCCAUGGUGAUAAAGACUCUCUUAGAGGACAUACUGGCAAGGCGUGGGUUUCCCCAGUGGACCAGCUUCUGUGUCCCAGGCAGAGAUCAUCACUGAAUUCAAUUGCUAGACCAUCUCAAGGUGCCCAAUGGACUCAUAAACAUGUUUGGCCUAAACUUCAUGUCCUCUGUGAAACAGGGGUGAUAGAGCCUCAUUACAAAAGCCCUAAUUGCAAGCCCGUUUGCAGUUGAAGACAACCCCGACCAGCAGGAGGAAACUCAGCCUCAGGAUUCCCUCCUGUCUACCACUGAUGGGGCCCUACCCACACUCCAGGGACACCACGAGGACUG